GAGGGAUGUUGAUGCCAUGGUCACCAUGGAGAAACUGUUCAACACAAGCUGGAACUGAGUCAGAACAGGAGCUGCUCUGCUGCUAUGGUGACCCCCAAACUUAACGAGGCAUGGAAUAAGAAAACCCUGGAGGAGAGUGCUGAUGGGGAGACCAUUAGAGAAGGCUGGAGCUCCCUCUAGGGGCAGAAAAAGCAAAAGUUCCAAGAAUGUGCCCAUCUCUGAACAAAGCUGAUGGAGGCCAAGAGCAUGUGAUUGAUCGCUGCUAACUCUUAGUCACAUGCCAGAGUCUAGCUCUGGGAGUGCCAUGAACUCCAUCUGAACCACGUGAGCAGAGAAAAUAGCUAAGAAGAUUUUCACCAAGGACAACUGCAACAUUGCUCGCAGAAGAAGGAUCAAUGAAAGCUGGCA
Long non-coding RNA from Talpa occidentalis (Iberian mole), 408 nucleotides. RefSeq lists it as uncharacterized. Lineage: Eukaryota; Metazoa; Chordata; Mammalia; Eulipotyphla; Talpidae. The transcript has 3 exons. The record is from RefSeq and is a predicted model, not a curated record.